RNAcentral lists this non-coding RNA (23 nucleotides) under Cricetulus griseus (Chinese hamster). The record is from RNAcentral. Lineage: Eukaryota; Metazoa; Chordata; Mammalia; Rodentia; Cricetidae.
GUUUGCUGAGCUUAAGGAGAAGA